AACCCUAAGAAAUACACUCUAAAAGUUUAGCUGUCUUAUUUUCCUUUGAUUCUUAGUAAAAAAUGAAGAACUUCCUUUGAAGAUUUCUGGUUUUCAUCAGUAAAAAUGGUUUGAAGUUAAAAAUUCUUCUUCUGGGAUCUAUUGGGUUGUUGUUGAUUGUUGUGUUUUGUUGCUGAAGCUUCUUGGUUCUUUUCUCCUUGACCUUUAUUUGGUCAUUUCUCUGUUUGUGUUUUCAAUUUCAAGGUAUGUAACAAUGUCUAUCCUAAAAAAAAUUAACUUUGAGUUUAAAAUUUGUGUUUGAAACCUGUUUUUCAUUUGGCUGAACUUUGCUUUUAGUUUUCGGAUCCUUGACUUUGUGAAUUUGAGGUUGAUUAAUGUCUAUAAACCCUGUGUUGAUAUUACCUUAAAUGGUUGUUGCAUUUGAUCAUGAAAUAUGAAAUAAUUGUGCUGUAUAUGUCAAUGUUUGAUGGCUGAAUCAGUAUGUCUAUAUACUAUGAAACUAUGUUCAAAACUCUCAUUUUGAUAGCAGCACUAAAGGAAAUGAAUCUGACCCUUUAAAUGGUCAGAUUCACUCCUUAAUUGUGCAUGGAUUCUUAACUCAUCUAGCAUAUGUCUAAGUUUGUUUCUCUUCCCCUUCUUUUCUUCUUUACUAAGAUGAGAACUUAGAGUAGGAUCAUGGUUUGGGAAGUCGUUGUUCGUUUGUGAGGAUGACCUUAAAACAUGGUCAGACUCAUAAACAACAUUGCUCUCCCUAUUACUCAUUCUUGCAUUAGGUUAUUUAUGAUUUAUUUGAUAAUAUUAUAGGUCCUUACAUUUG
Molecule: long non-coding RNA, 817 nt
Filed under: Nicotiana tabacum (common tobacco)
Lineage: Eukaryota; Viridiplantae; Streptophyta; Magnoliopsida; Solanales; Solanaceae
Description: long non-coding RNA (NTAB_LNC018244)
Source: RNAcentral